RNAcentral lists this transfer RNA (64 nucleotides) under Ramulus hainanensis. RNAcentral's name for it is "Ramulus hainanense tRNA-Leu". Lineage: Eukaryota; Metazoa; Arthropoda; Insecta; Phasmatodea; Phasmatidae. The record is from RNAcentral.
UCUAAUAUGGCAGAAUAGUGCCAUAGAUUUAAGCUCUAUAUAUAAAGAAUAUCUUUUAUUAGAA